This 207-nucleotide ribosomal RNA is filed under the name uncultured bacterium. RNAcentral's name for it is "partial 16S ribosomal RNA". It matches the Rfam family "Bacterial small subunit ribosomal RNA", at positions 568 to 774 of the family's 1533-position model. The record is from RNAcentral.
CGCGUAGGCGGUCGAUCAAGUCGGUUGUGAAAGCCCUCGGCUCAACCGAGGAACUGCAUCCGAUACUGGUUGGCUAGAGUAUGGUAGGGGAGAGUGGAACUCCUGGUGGAGCGGUGAAAUGCGUAGAUAUCAGGAGGAACGCCGGUGGCGAAAGCGACUCUCUGGACCACAACUGACGCUGAGGCGCGAAAGCCAGGGGAGCAAACG